AACUUUCCAACAAAGGCAUCUCUUGGUUCUGGCAUCGAUAAAGAACGCAGCGAAAUGCGAUAAGUAAUGUGAAUUGCAGAAUUCAGUGAAUCAUCGAAUCUUUGAACGCACAUUGCGCCCGCCAGUAUUCUGGCGGGCAUGCCUGUCCGAGCGUCAUUU
RNAcentral lists this ribosomal RNA (159 nucleotides) under Trichoderma atroviride. RNAcentral describes it as "5.8S ribosomal RNA". It matches the Rfam family "5.8S ribosomal RNA". Rfam says of the family: 5.8S ribosomal RNA (5.8S rRNA) is a component of the large subunit of the eukaryotic ribosome. It is transcribed by RNA polymerase I as part of the 45S precursor that also contains 18S and 28S rRNA. The record is from RNAcentral. Lineage: Eukaryota; Fungi; Ascomycota; Sordariomycetes; Hypocreales; Hypocreaceae.